AAAGGGGUCCGACCGGCAACUGGCGCCAAAUCACGAGUUCCGGCUUUAUUCACUAACGCUACAUAAUUAUGCCCACAUCUUACGCGAGUUUAAAUGUGUUUCUGACGACGCGGCACAUUUGAAACGCCACUUCGCUGCGCUUUAAAAACACGGUAAACUAUUGUUUGGAAAACGGCUAACGAGAAACCGGAAGUGGUGACGAAACAGGAAGUGACGUUUCGAAAGCGAUACCACAGGAGUUAGCGAGUGCUGCGGGCGUUCCUGAAGGACAGACCGCAUACAGCUCCGUGGUUUAAAAAUUAAAAAAAAAAAAAAAAAAAAAAAAAUAUUUGUGAGGAAGCGCCAUGAUUAAGCCCCACAAAUUGUCGGCUGCGAAGCGCUUCACCAAGCCUGUUCUGUUCGGAACCGUCCUGCUGGCUCUGGCCGCUACUUUCGUCAACAGACACAUGUUCUUGGCGGACGUGACGGAGAUGCGAGCUCAGGAACAUGCUCGCAACCAGGAGAAGCUGAGGGAGGUCUUGGAGCGGAGGCAGAGGCAAGUGGCCAAGCUGGAGCAGAAGAAGGUCGAGGCGGGCAGGUGAGGCCCUGUAGGAAGGCCCCCUGGGGCCGGAUAGACAGUGGACUACAAUGCGGAUGCACCAAGUCCUCGAGGUGGUCUGGAAGGCCUUCAGAAACCAUGAUGGAUUGACAGAGGGAUGCCACACGGCUGCGAGAAGUAGAUGGACUUCAAAGCCUUUUGCAGCCUGUAGUCGUCUUCAGCACUCUGCGUGGAGUGGGGUUAUGCUGAACCACCGUGCUACGACCUGAUGAGCUUUGCAGUUGUCAAUAAUUAGUGCCUAUGUGUGAAAAUGAAAGGUAAUUUCUGAAAAAUGAGUUUGUGGUUUAUGCAAAAUACAAUAGUAUAACUCAUCCAUCAGUAAGCAUUACCUUGCAGGUUCACUUCAGAGGGGUAUGUAUUAAUGUAGUGUGGAGACAGUCAAAUCAAUCUUUACAAAUAGGUGUUCUGUCAAUAUGUGUCACUCAGUUCCUACUCAAUAUAACCAGCCAUAAUUCCUCUGGUUUAGUUACACCAAUUACCUUUAACAGAUGCUUUUCUCCAAAACCACUUCCAGUGGACUCGAUGUAAUAGUGUUAUCAGCCCACACACUUAUUCACUAAGGUGACUUGCUAGAUACACUACUUCAAGGGUCACUCAUUCAUGCCUAAGUGAUUGAGCUUCAUCAAGUUAUUAGUUGAACCUUUAACAAGUUACAGCUUCCCCUCCCCCCCCCCAACCCUAUAUACCACUUUUCCCCCUUUAUCCUCCAUAUGGGAGUUUAGGGUAAAUACUAUUCCUGAUCUGAGGGUUUUGUCCAUUGCAACUUGGUGUAUUUCUGAAAAAGUUGCUUGCAAUAAUUUACCAGUUUAUACAGCUGGGUAAUUUUUACUGCCUCUAUUAAGGAACCUUCAGAUUUCUAGGCAGAGAUGAACAUUGAACAUGCAGUUUUGCUGACAGUAUUAACCAGGUCCAGUAGAGGGCAAUAGUGUAGUGUCAGUGCAGGAAUGACGUAUUCAGGACAGUUUAAUCAAAAUAUGAAAGCUUUUUUAAAUUUGCGCCCAAUUGAAGUAACUAAUGUUAGACAAUUUAAGCAUGAUAAACGAAACAGCUUUGCUAGGCAACAGGGGCUCCUACAAUAUUUUCAUUCAUCCCAGAGGAUUUCAAGGCAGAGCAUUUCUCUACUCUUCCCAUUUUAAAAAUCCACAUGACAUGAAGUGACAAAGGACAUUAAUAAAAAGCAAAACUCAUUUCA
This is a long non-coding RNA of Scleropages formosus (Asian bonytongue), 1790 nucleotides long. NCBI's taxonomy places the organism in Eukaryota, Metazoa, Chordata, Actinopteri, Osteoglossiformes, Osteoglossidae. The record is from Ensembl.